UUUCAUUGUAAACAUUUACGUUAAUAACAUUUUUAAAUCUGUUCUUAUCAGUUUAAUAUCUGAUAUGUCCUUUAUUUGAGGACUGUAUAUUAAAUUGAUUUUUGAAACAGAGGGCUGGAAUAGGAGCUUGCUCUGUCCACCCCAUGCAUUGACCUGGUAUUGCAGUGCCUCCAGGACCGGUGCCUCUCCU
Molecule: small nuclear RNA, 190 nt
Organism: Mauremys mutica (yellowpond turtle)
Lineage: Eukaryota; Metazoa; Chordata; Testudines; Geoemydidae
Product: U2 spliceosomal RNA
Exons: 1
Source: RefSeq, a predicted model, not a curated record